This 96-nucleotide non-coding RNA is filed under the name Romboutsia lituseburensis. RNAcentral describes it as "TPP". It matches the Rfam family "TPP riboswitch aptamer (THI element)". Rfam says of the family: Vitamin B(1) in its active form thiamin pyrophosphate (TPP) is an essential coenzyme that is synthesised by coupling of pyrimidine and thiazole moieties in bacteria. The previously detected thiamin-regulatory element, thi box was extended, resulting in a new, highly conserved RNA secondary structure, the THI element, which is widely distributed in eubacteria and also occurs in some archaea. RNAcentral also lists the same sequence under 1 other name. Lineage: Bacteria; Bacillati; Bacillota; Clostridia; Peptostreptococcales; Peptostreptococcaceae. The record is from RNAcentral.
AAAUAUAGCUAGGGGAGCCUUUAGGCUGAGAAGUAUAAACUGACCCUUAUACCUGAUCUGGGUAAUGCCAGCGUAGGAAAGCUUGUACAUAAGUCU